CCGUUUUGCUAUUAGGGUUGAACCCGUGUACUCCAUUCGAGAUCGAAGCAAAACCUUUGUUCCAAGAGAGUUCUUUCAUCUUCUUCCCUGUCAAUCCGCAGAGAUGCCGGUUACAGACUAGCCCUCUUCAGUUCCUUCUUAAAUCCAUACCCCAUGAUCUCUCUUGAAUGCGAUCUUGGGCGUGGAAUUUUGACUAUAAAAAGGUACGCUUUCAUGCUAUGAGAACCAUCUCCUAAUUUCGUUUUCACAAACCAGUAAUCUAAUGUUGAGUAGAAUGGCUAAUGCUACAAUCUUUCCCAUUUGAUUUGAGGACCGGACAAUGCUCCUCCACCGUUCAAGUGCGGUUGCUUCGUUAUUGGGAGGCCAGGAACGCCCGACUCAGUGGCGAACUCAUGGGAGUCGAUAUGUUGCUACUUGAUUCCCAGUCGGUGAAAAAAUUCUGUAAUGAAUCGCUGCCAAAGAACAGAAGACCUCUAGAUACUACCGCCUGUGAAAAUCCUCCUGUGAAUCGCUGUCGUCUAAGCUCCGGCCGUACAGUAGGAAGUGAUAAGUUCAUCUUCAAGUAUACGACGAAGUCACGGAAAGGAGAUGGAUAGUUGGAGUGCAUAGAUUAUUCUAUUCAUCUUUCUUUGUGGCGUGCUUCCUUUUUGGGCUGAUUUCCAAUUUGACCCAGCUAUAGAAACUCUUAAUUCUCACCGUGAGUGUAUGGAUGUGAGGACUUGACAGAAACACAAGAAGAAGAGUAAAGUGCAACUCAAGCAACUCAUUACUCAUUGUUUGCCAAAAAAAAAACUCAUUACUCAUUCGUGUGGAAGGAUGAUGAAUGUUUAAUCAUGUGUUGUUAUGUUGUGUACUUCUGCAUUUAAUUAUGUUUUAUGAAUUGUUCACUCAGCCACAUUAUGCAUUUUGUGCUUCACAGUUUUCAUUAGCUAUGGAAAGACAAU
Long non-coding RNA from Brassica oleracea var. oleracea, 944 nucleotides. RefSeq lists it as uncharacterized. Lineage: Eukaryota; Viridiplantae; Streptophyta; Magnoliopsida; Brassicales; Brassicaceae. The transcript is spliced from 3 exons. The record is from RefSeq and is a predicted model, not a curated record.